GACGAACCGUGCGAACGUUAUUCGGAAUCACUGGGCUUAAAGCGCGUGUAGGCGGGCCAGCACGUCGGGCGCUGAAAUCCCCCGGCUCAACCGGGGAACGGGCACCGAUACGACUGGCCUGGAGGGGAGUAGGGGGACCUGGAACUUCCGGUGGAGCGGUGAAAUGCGCAGAUAUCAGGAGGAACACCGGUGGCGAAGGCGGGUCUCUGGGCCGAUACUGACGCUGAGGAGCGAAAGCGUGGGGAGCGAACAGG
This 254-nucleotide ribosomal RNA is filed under the name uncultured bacterium. Its description in RNAcentral is "partial 16S ribosomal RNA". It matches the Rfam family "Bacterial small subunit ribosomal RNA", at positions 524 to 776 of the family's 1533-position model. The record is from RNAcentral.